Molecule: ribosomal RNA, 305 nt
Filed under: uncultured bacterium
Lineage: Bacteria
Description: bacterial SSU rRNA
Rfam family: Bacterial small subunit ribosomal RNA
Source: RNAcentral
CCCUACGGGGGGCAGCAGUGAGGAAUAUUGGUCAAUGGUCGGGAGACUGAACCAGCCAAGCCGCGUGAGGGAUGAAGGUACAGAGUAUCGUAAACCUCUUUUGUCAGGGAACAAAGGCGGGGACGUGUCCCCGGAUGAGUGUACCUGAAGAAAAAGCAUCGGCUAACUCCGUGCCAGCGGCCGCGGUAAUACGGAGGAUGCGAGCGUUAUCCGGAUUUAUUGGGUUUAAAGGGUGCGCAGGCGGUCUGUUAAGUCAGCGGUCAAAGCCCGGGGCUCAACCCUGGCCCGCCGUUGAAACUGGCAGU